RNAcentral lists this ribosomal RNA (253 nucleotides) under uncultured bacterium. Its description in RNAcentral is "partial 16S ribosomal RNA". It matches the Rfam family "Bacterial small subunit ribosomal RNA", at positions 524 to 776 of the family's 1533-position model. The record is from RNAcentral.
UACGUAGGGUGCGAGCGUUAAUCGGAAUUACUGGGCGUAAAGCGUGCGCAGGCGGUUCGCCAAGUCAGGUGUGACAUCCCCGGGCUCAACCUGGGACUUGCGGUUGAAACUAGCGAGCUUGAGUGUGGCAGAGGGGGGUGGAAUUCCACGUGUAGCGGUGAAAUGCGUAGAGAUGUGGAGGAACACCGAUGGCGAAGGCAGCGCCCUGGGUCAACACUGACGCUGAGGCACGAAAGCGUGGGGAGCAAACAGG